Molecule: ribosomal RNA, 738 nt
Filed under: uncultured archaeon
Lineage: Archaea
Description: bacterial SSU rRNA
Rfam family: Archaeal small subunit ribosomal RNA
Source: RNAcentral
ACCCCGGGAACUGGGGAUAAUACCCUAUAGGUUACAGAUGCUGGAAUGCCCUGUAACCAAAAGCUCCGGCGCCCUAGGAUGGAUCUGCGGCCGAUUAGGUUGUUGUUGGGGUAACGGCCCAACAAGCCCGUAAUCGGUACGGGUUGUGGGAGCAAGAGCCCGGAGUUGGAUUCUGAGACACGAAUCCAGGCCCUACGGGGCGCAGCAGGCGCGAAACCUUUACAAUGCGGGCAACCGUGAUAAGGGAACCUCGAGUGCCUGUAAACGCAGGCUGUUCAGGUGUUUAAAACGCACCUGGAGAAAGGGCCGGGCAAGACCGGUGCCAGCCGCCGCGGUAAUACCGGCGGCUCGAGUGGUGGCCGCUUUUAUUGGGCUUAAAGCGUUCGUAGCUGGGUUGUUAAGUCUCUUGGGAAAUCUGGCGGCUUAACCGUCAGGCGUCUAAGGGAUACUGGCAAUCUUGGAACCGGGAGAGGUGAGGGGUACUUCGGGGGUAGGGGUGAAAUCCUGUAAUCCUCGAGGGACCACCUGUGGCGAAGGCGCCUCACCAGAACGGCUUCGACAGUGAGGGACGAAAGCUGGGGGAGCAAACCGGAUUAGAUACCCGGGUAGUCCCAGCCGUAAACGAUGCGCGUUAGGUGUAUCGGUGGCCACGAGUUACCGAGGUGCCGAAGGGAAACCGUGAAACGCGCCGCCUGGGAAGUACGGUCGCAAGGCUGAAACUUAAAGGAAUUGGCGGGG